UUCACAUAAUACAUAUCACACAUCUUUGUUUAACACAAGCAAAAAAACAAUGGCCAAAGUUUUCUUUGUCACUUUUGUUCUCUUAGUUUUGGUCUUUUCUCCCGCCCUUGAGAUGUCCGAUGCCACUAGGGUGGGUCGCGAACUGCUACAAGGCGGACCAAUUUGUCCUGCUUGCGUAUGUUGCUCUCCCGCACCAUCACCUGAUAAAUGUUGCCCUUGUGUCUGCUCUCCGCCACCUCCUAGGGCUUGAAAAUAUGUUUAUCAUAUAACACACUGUUAAAUAAGGAUUAGCUAACAAGCUAAUCAUGCCCAUGAAGUUAAAUUUACUUUUAUGUUCUCGUAAUUAUGUACACAUUGAUCAUGGUGUCGAUGGAUGAAUUCUCAAUAAUAACCUGGUGAAAUAAUUAUAUAUAUGGUUCCCC
Molecule: long non-coding RNA, 422 nt
Organism: Impatiens glandulifera
Lineage: Eukaryota; Viridiplantae; Streptophyta; Magnoliopsida; Ericales; Balsaminaceae
Exons: 2
Source: RefSeq, a predicted model, not a curated record